RNAcentral lists this ribosomal RNA (491 nucleotides) under uncultured bacterium. RNAcentral describes it as "partial 16S ribosomal RNA". It matches the Rfam family "Bacterial small subunit ribosomal RNA", at positions 29 to 506 of the family's 1533-position model. The record is from RNAcentral.
AGUGAACGCUGGCGGUAGGCCUAACACAUGCAAGUCGAACGGCAGCACAGUAAGAGCUUGCUCUUACGGGUGGCGAGUGGCGGACGGGUGAGGAAUACAUCGGAAUCUACUUUUUCGUGGGGGAUAACGUAGGGAAACUUACGCUGAUACCGCAUACGACCUACGGGUGAAAGCAGGGGAUCUUCGGACCUUGCGCGAUUGAAUGAGCCGAUGUCGGAUUAGCUAGUUGGCGGGGUAAAGGCCCACCAAGGCGACGAUCCGUAGCUGGUCUGAGAGGAUGUUCAGCCACACUGGAACUGAGACACGGUCCAGACUCCUACGGGAGGCAGCAGUGGGGAAUAUUGGACAAUGGGCGCAAGCCUGAUCCAGCCAUACCGCGUGGGUGAAGAAGGCCUUCGGGUUGUAAAGCCCUUUUGUUGGGAAAGAAAAGCAGCAGGUUAAUACCCCGCUGUUCUGACGGUACCCAAAGAAUAAGCACCGGCUAACUUCGU